AUUGAACGCUGGCGGCAGGCCUAACACAUGCAAGUCGAACGGCAGCACAGAAGAGCUUGCUCUUUGGGUGGCGAGUGGCGGACGGGUGAGUAACACGUAGGAAUCUACCCAGUAGUGGGGGAUAACCUGGGGAAACCCAGGCUAAUACCGCAUACGCCCUGAGGGGGAAAGCGGGGGAUCUUCGGACCUCGCGCUAUUGGAUGAGCCUGCGUCGGAUUAGCUAGUUGGUGGGGUAAGGGCCCACCAAGGCGACGAUCCGUAGCUGGUCUGAGAGGAUGACCAGUCACACCGGAACUGAGACACGGUCCGGACUCCUACGGGAGGCAGCAGUGGGGAAUAUUGGACAAUGGGCGGCAAGCCUGAUCCAGCCAUGCCGCGUGGGUGAAGAAGGACCUCGUGUAGUACGUUACG
RNAcentral lists this ribosomal RNA (411 nucleotides) under uncultured bacterium. RNAcentral's name for it is "bacterial SSU rRNA". It matches the Rfam family "Bacterial small subunit ribosomal RNA", at positions 29 to 437 of the family's 1533-position model. The record is from RNAcentral.